CAGCAUUUUUUAGCUGGAAACAGCGCUUCCAACUGGAAACAACUGGAUGGAGCAUUUUCCAGCCGGAAGUAGAAUCUAUCGACUGGAAAGUGGAGCUUCCCACUUGCAUUGAGACAUUUUUUGUAUCUGCAACAUGCCCAUAUUUAGCCCUAGGUGGUGUUUGUAGCAGAACGAAGAGCUUUUACUCUUGCAGCAGCAGCAAAAAAAAAAAUUAUUUCUCUGCGUUGUGACAACAAUCGUAAUUAAUUGCAUGAACUGCAUGGAAAUGCUCGUCACUCAGGGUACCUUUGAUCGCGAUCGGGCCCGAUCGGGAUCGAUUGCAAUCGAAAGUGUCCUGUGUGAUCGAGUUGCCAAAAAAAAAUAUCUACAGGAAAACUGCCACUUUUAUUGAACCUUACUUGUAAUAGACAAAAGCGACGCGCUCUUGAUCGACACUGUAUAUCUUGCUACACUGUCGAUGUUACACUAGCGAGGAGCUUGCCCGAUUGGCCAUGAUGAGCCGUUGCGCAAACGGCUAGUGUUUACAGCAUAGCAAUUCCUUCUCUAACAAAAAAGAGCCUUAACACGUGGCACCUUCAGCAGUUCAGGCUGCAAUGACCGCUGCUCCUAUUUUUUCCUGUCUCCACGACGCCAAUACAAUCGCCGCCAUAUUUGUUGAAUACUUAGGAGCUUUAGUCUCGUAUCUUGUCUUGAUCUGCUCUUUUGACACGAAUAAUAAUAUAAUAGCGUGUUAUUGCAAUAUCAGUAUUUCUCAGAAAAGCUCGGGUUUUUAUUCACAGCAGCAGCAUUACAAAGGCAGGCCGAAUAUAAAAAAUGUGACGACGCCACAGGGGCUCUAGUUUCGUACAGCACAUGGCGGAAACUGUCACGGCGAGGCAAUUUUGCGAGACAACGAGAGUCUCUCGGGUGUGCGUGUGAUCAAGUUUUUGUGAGGAACCUGCAUGAUCUUGCGCAUGAAGUAAUUAUUUUUGGACAGUUCCUUCUCUGGACGGUGUUACAAGUACAGGCAAGCGGCUAUCAACGGUUGUUAUUGCUGUACUUUGUGGUGUUGUGAUUCACCAGUGCGGAUCGAAGAGCACCGUUUUCUCCAGCCCUGAUUCUACAAUUUGGAGAUGGGGUACAAGGAGGAGUGCAAGUGUAUUCCACAUCUUGAGGGAGAUGCAAGAUAUGCUUCCGCAAUCCUUGCUGCAAGUGUUCAAAUAAAUGGUUGCAAGUUUCAGC
Dermacentor albipictus is the source of this 1221-nucleotide non-coding RNA. The record is from RefSeq and is a predicted model, not a curated record. NCBI's taxonomy places the organism in Eukaryota, Metazoa, Arthropoda, Arachnida, Ixodida, Ixodidae.